AGUGAACGCUGGCGGUAGGCCUGACACAUGCAAGUCGAACGGCAGCACAGUAAGAGCUUGCUCUUACGGGUGGCGAGUGGCGGACGGGUGAGGAAUACAUCGGAAUCUACUUUUUCGUGGGGGAUAACGUAGGGAAACUUACGCUAAUACCGCAUACGACCUACGGGUGAAAGCAGGGGAUCUUCGGACCUUGCGCGAUUGAAUGAGCCGAUGUCGGAUUAGCUAGUUGGCGGGGUAAAGGCCCACCAAGGCGACGAUCCGUAGCUGGUCUGAGAGGAUGAUCAGCCACAUUGGAACUGAGACACGGUCCAGACUCCUACGGGAGGCAGCAGUAGGGAAUAUUGGACAAUGGGCGCAAGCCUGAUCCAGCCAUACCGCGUGGGUGAAGAAGGCCUUCGGGUUGUAAAGCCCUUUUGUUGGGAAAGAAAAGCAGCAGGUUAAUACCCCGCUGUUCUGACGGUACCCAAAGAAUAAGCACCGGCUAACUUCGUG
Molecule: ribosomal RNA, 492 nt
Filed under: uncultured bacterium
Lineage: Bacteria
Description: partial 16S ribosomal RNA
Rfam family: Bacterial small subunit ribosomal RNA
Source: RNAcentral